This 519-nucleotide ribosomal RNA is filed under the name uncultured bacterium. RNAcentral's name for it is "bacterial SSU rRNA". It matches the Rfam family "Bacterial small subunit ribosomal RNA", at positions 32 to 518 of the family's 1533-position model. The record is from RNAcentral.
AACGCUGGCGGCGUGCCUAAUACAUGCAAAGUCAACGGGCUUUUCUAUGGAAGCUUGCUUCCACUGAGAAGAUAGUGGGCGAAACGGGUGAGUAACACGUGGGGUAACCCUGCCCAUAAGAGGGGGGAUAACAUCCGGAAACGGGUGCUAAUACCGCAUAGUUUUCUUGAUCGCAUGAUCGGGAAAGGAAAGACGGCCUUUGUGCUGUCGCUUAUGGAUGGACCCGCGGCGUAUUAGUUAGUUGGUGAGGUAACGGCUCACCAAGACGAUGAUACGUAGCCGACCUGAGAGGGUGAUCGGCCACAUUGGGACUGAGACACGGCCCAAACUCCUACGGGAGGCAGCAGCUAAGAAUCUUCCGCAAUGGGCGAAAGCCUGACGGAGCCGACGCCGCGUGAACGAAGAAGGCCGUGAGGUUGUAAAGUUCUUUUCGGGAGGGGGAACAACCGUGGCAGGGAAUGGCCGCGGGAUGACGUGAAUCCCGGAAUAAGCCCCGGCUAACUACGUGCCAGCCGCCGC